GAAAUGGACUGAAAGAAAGACGCAGAAGCAGGAGCUGAGU
This 40-nucleotide small RNA is filed under the name Arabidopsis thaliana (thale cress). RNAcentral describes it as "ATSL233320". The record is from RNAcentral. Lineage: Eukaryota; Viridiplantae; Streptophyta; Magnoliopsida; Brassicales; Brassicaceae.